UGGGGAAUAUUGGACAAUGGGGGCAACCCUGAUCCAGCGAUGCCGCGUGAGUGAAGAAGGCCUUCGGGUCGUAAAGCUCUUUAGGUUGGGAAGAAGGUUGUGCGGGGAUAAUCCGCAUGAUUUGACGGUACCGACAAAAUAAGCACCGGCAAACUCUGUGCCAGCAGCCGCGGUAAUACAGAGGGUGCGAGCGUUAAUCGGAGUUACUGGGCGUAAAGGGCGCGUAGGCGGUUAUAUGAGUGUGAUGUGAAAGCCCCGGGCUUAACCUGGGAAGUGCAUCGCAAACGAUAUAACUGGAGUAUAUGAGAGGGUGGCGGAAUUUCCGGUGUAGCGGUGAAAUGCGUAGAGAUCGGAAGGAACGUCGAUGGCGAAGGCAGCCACCUGGCAUAAUACUGACGCUGAGGCGCGAAAGCGUGGGGAGCGAACAGG
Molecule: ribosomal RNA, 429 nt
Filed under: uncultured bacterium
Lineage: Bacteria
Description: bacterial SSU rRNA
Rfam family: Bacterial small subunit ribosomal RNA
Source: RNAcentral